This 379-nucleotide ribosomal RNA is filed under the name uncultured bacterium. RNAcentral describes it as "bacterial SSU rRNA". It matches the Rfam family "Bacterial small subunit ribosomal RNA", at positions 28 to 415 of the family's 1533-position model. The record is from RNAcentral.
GACGAACGCUGGCGGCGUGCUUAACACAUGCAAGUCACGGGGGCUUGGGCAACCGAGCAACCGGCGAACGGGUGCGUAACACGUGAGCAACCUGCCUUUGUGUGGGGGAUAGCCGGGCUAACGCCCGGGUAAUACCGCAUACGGUUCUCGAGGGGAGUCCCUUGGGAAAGAAACCUCCGGGGCACAGAGAGGGGCUCGCGGCCUAUCAGCUUGUUGGCGGGGUAAUGGCCCACCAAGGCGACGACGGGUAGCUGGCUGAGAGGAUGGCCAGCCACAUUGGGACUGAGAGACGGCCCAGACUCCUACGGGAGGCAGCAGUGGGGAAUCUUGCGCAAUGGCCGCAAGGCUGACGCAGCGACGCCGCGUGUGGGAGGACGCC